Cyprinus carpio carpio is the source of this 1148-nucleotide long non-coding RNA. Lineage: Eukaryota; Metazoa; Chordata; Actinopteri; Cypriniformes; Cyprinidae. The record is from Ensembl.
UUCAUAUUGACUUAAUUAUCAUGAAAAACAUUAGAAUUAAUUAAUUAAUAAAUUAAUUAAUCAAUUAAUAAAUAUAAUAUAAGUUUUAUUAUUUUAUAAAAAAAUAUUUUUUAUAAAAUAAAACAAAUAGGUUUUAUUUUUAAUGCAAACAAUUUAAUUUUUUUUCUCUGAUUUUGGUGUGAAAUAUGACCAAGACAUGAUUCUCUUGUUUGAAAUGUAAUUGUAAAACAAUAAGUGUCCAAAGGACAAGAAUGCAAAAAAUAUGACGCUUUACUCAACCUGCAGUUGGAAACUCAUGGCUGCAUUAUUGCUCAGAGCAGUGCAAAUUCAUAUUUGUAAUAUCACUUCUGGAGUACUUUAAGUACUGAUAGCAAGUUAAAUAGAAGCAUGUGUCAGCCUUGAAUAUGAUUUGCCUUGAAUGGAAUUUCAUUAUAGCCAAAGCCGAUGGGAAGCAGUCAUUUACAGAAUGUACUUUUAAAAUAAAAAGUGUCACUUUUAAUAAAAGCUCGUAAGGCAUAAUGACAAUUUAACGACUGAUUCCAAAGCAAUAUGAUUAAUUAGACUUGUGGCAGUGAUGUUUUAAAACAUUUCCAAGGAGCUGAUUUAAAUUUACGAAUGUAAUGUUACGAUUUUUCUGAACAUUUGAUCAGACAAAAAAAAAAACAUUCCUACAAAAUGUCUUACACUAUAUCAGCAUCUAGUCACUGAAUGUUGCAUUUAAAGGUGUUAAACGAUCCUCACAUUUCUGAUAUUUGUUUUUUGAUGUACAACUAGAGCUGAAUGCACAAGGACCUGGUCUUGUCAGAUACAAAAUGUAAAAAGUUGCGUUAACGCAGUUGAGAAUGUACAUGACGUAGUGUACGAUCUCUGUCACAGGAAGGUUUGUUUUUGUACUCGGAUAUCUGAUAUAAAUGAAAAGCACACUCUUAGUCGAUCACAUGACUCAAUGAAUGGACAUUGAGAAGGGCUUAAACACAAGCGUAAUGUGUUUCAUAUGACAGUGACAGAUUGAGCACACACUUAUUCAAGACAGGCAGAGAUGUGUGUUACGGAACAUUUUGUUAUAUUUCAGCACUUGCAUUUUAUUUGAGGUUUGAAUUUAUAAAUUUGGUCUGUUUUACGUAAUAAACAUGCACAGCUGUUCAAAC